Molecule: ribosomal RNA, 146 nt
Filed under: Archiearis parthenias
Lineage: Eukaryota; Metazoa; Arthropoda; Insecta; Lepidoptera; Geometridae
Description: partial 16S ribosomal RNA
Source: RNAcentral
GUAAGCCAGGUUGGUUUCUAUCUUUUAAUAAUUAAAAUAUUUUAGUACGAAAGGAUUAAAUAUUUAAAUUAAAUUUAUUAGUUUUGAAUUUUAUUAAAUAAAAAUAAAAUUAUUUAUUUUGCUAUAUAUAUAUAUAUAUAUAUAUA